This 768-nucleotide non-coding RNA is filed under the name Corallianassa coutierei. The record is from RNAcentral. Lineage: Eukaryota; Metazoa; Arthropoda; Malacostraca; Decapoda; Callianassidae.
AUAGUUUGAUCCUGGCUAUGUACUUUGCAUUUAAGUUGAAAAAUGCAUGAAAUAUUCUAAAGUUAUUUUCAAUCCAUUAAAAAGGUAACUCAUUUUCAAUCUCAGCAUAAAAUAUUAAACAAUAGUUUCAAGACUGAUUUAAUUACUUAAAAAGAUUUGGUUAAAUAUUGUGCCAGCAGCCGCGGUUAUACUCUGCAAUCAAGUAAAGACUUGUCGGUGCUUAGUUAAUAUAAGGCUUAUCUUCAUAGAAGUCUAACACAUUGAAAAGUGAAAUUUAAUAAUGUGUAUAAAAACCUAUUUAUAAUAACCUUUCGUGAAACUAAAAAAAUUGGAGCAAAAACUAGGAUUAGAUACCCUACUAUUUCCAAUCGUAAUACAUCAUGCCUAAAAACUAAAAGCUAUGUCCUUCAAAUUUAAAGGAUUUGGCGGUAAUUUAGUCCAGUUAGAGGAACCUGUUCGAUAAACGAUAAACCCCGCAAAAUCUUACCUCCUCUCCAAAGUUUGUAUACCGUCAUUAUUAGAUGACUCCUAGAAGAAAAGUUAUUUCAAUAAAUAAUUUUUACUUAGUAUAUUAGAUCAAGGUGCAACCCAUGAGGAGGCCAGAAUGGGUUACAAUAAAACUUAUUUAAAACGGAAGAAAUAUUGAAAUAUUUUUCCGAAGGAGGAUUUAAUAGUAAGAUUAGUUUAACAAGCUUCCCUGAUAGAGGAUCUAAAUUGAGUACAUAUCGCCCGUCGCUUUCGUCUAAAAACGAAAUAAGUCGUAACAUA